RNAcentral lists this small RNA (118 nucleotides) under Marmota monax (woodchuck). Lineage: Eukaryota; Metazoa; Chordata; Mammalia; Rodentia; Sciuridae. The record is from RNAcentral.
GCUGGGCAUUGUGGGGUGCACCUGCAGUCCCAGCUAGCUACUAUGGAGGCUAAGGUGAGAGGAUCACUUGAGCCCAGGAGUUUGGAGCCAGCCUGGGCAACACAGCAAGACCUCAAAU